GCUGAACGCUGACAGAAUGCUUAACAAAUCAGCAAUUGAUUGGUGGCAGACGGGUGAGUAACGCGUAAAGAACUUACCUCACAGUUAGGGACAACAUUUGGAAACGAAUGCUAAUACCUAAUACUGUGAGAGAGCUUUUCGUCCCAUUAGCUAGUUGGAGAGGUAACGGCUCACCAAGCGGAUGAUGGGUAGCCGGCCUGAGCGGGUGAUCGGCCACAAGGUGACUGAGACAUGGCCCUUACUCCUACGGGAGGCAGCAUUGGGGAAUAUUGGACAAUGGACCAAAGUCUGAUCCAGCAAUUCUGUGUGCACGAUGAAGUUUUCGGAAUGUAAAGUGCUUUCAGUUGGGAAGCGGUACCAACAGAAGAAGUGACGGCUAAAUACGUGCCAGCAGCCGCGGUAAUUC
This 406-nucleotide ribosomal RNA is filed under the name uncultured bacterium. RNAcentral's name for it is "partial 16S ribosomal RNA". It matches the Rfam family "Bacterial small subunit ribosomal RNA", at positions 28 to 526 of the family's 1533-position model. The record is from RNAcentral.